This 261-nucleotide unclassified non-coding RNA is filed under the name Ficus macrorrhyncha. RNAcentral's name for it is "partial contains external transcribed spacer and 18S ribosomal RNA". Lineage: Eukaryota; Viridiplantae; Streptophyta; Magnoliopsida; Rosales; Moraceae. The record is from RNAcentral.
CUUCGAACCCGAUCGAUGCCCGGGCCUGGACGGCCUGCGGUCAAUGGGGUAGCAAGAGUCAUUCUUAUCGAGGGACUUGAUUGGAGCAACAGGAGGCCGAGACCCCCCCCACGUCCGCUUAAUUUUCCACAUCCGGGAGCACRAGCAGUUGUCCUGCGGACCGAGACAGCCACAACAAGAGUCAGUGGAUAUGUCCGGGACACGGGGACUGCUUUCGAGGUCCGCAUUGCGGCCGCCAAGCCACAAGGAGGACAGGUGCGG